GGAAUAUUGGUCAAUGGCCGAGAGGCUGAACCAGCCAAGUAGCGUGCAGGAUGACUGCCCUAUGGGUUGUAAACUGCUUUUAUGCGGGGAUAAAGUUCAGCACGUGUGCUGUUUUGUAGGUACCGCAUGAAUAAGGACCGGCUAAUUCCGUGCCAGCAGCCGCGGUAAUACGGAAGGUCCGGGCGUUAUCCGGAUUUAUUGGGUUUAAAGGGAGCGCAGGCCGGAGGUCAAGCGUGACGUGAAAUGUAGCCGCUCAACGGCUGAGUUGCGUCGCGAACUGGUUUCCUUGAGUGAGUACGACGUCAGCGGAAUUCGUGGUGUAGCGGUGAAAUGCUUAGAUAUCACGAAGAACUCCGAUUGCGAAGGCAGCCAACAAGGCCUUUACUGACGCUAAUGCUCGAAAGUGCGGGUAGCGAACA
Molecule: ribosomal RNA, 419 nt
Filed under: uncultured Prevotella sp.
Lineage: Bacteria; Pseudomonadati; Bacteroidota; Bacteroidia; Bacteroidales; Prevotellaceae
Description: bacterial SSU rRNA
Rfam family: Bacterial small subunit ribosomal RNA
Source: RNAcentral